This is a long non-coding RNA of Nyctereutes procyonoides (raccoon dog), 1638 nucleotides long. RefSeq lists it as uncharacterized. The transcript has 4 exons. NCBI's taxonomy places the organism in Eukaryota, Metazoa, Chordata, Mammalia, Carnivora, Canidae. The record is from RefSeq and is a predicted model, not a curated record.
ACUUCCGGUGACGUCACGGGCGGGCCGCCGCGGUGGCCCGCGAGGUGGCUCGGGCGACGGCACGUGCGACCCCAGGUGUCUGCCUCUGCACCUGCGGACGGAGAGCGAGCCCAGCCUCGCAGGUGUCCUUUACCGACGCCCAGCGUGUGAGGAAGUGGGGUUCGCUUUGUACUUUAUUACGCGUGGUGAAGUCUGCGGGUUGCUUCCAACGAGGCGCUGAACAGCCCCAAGAAAUAAACCUAAGAUCGGGGAGGAAACGAUUUUCUUUCCCAACAGCCAUAAGAGGUUAUGGCAAAAUAAUUUGAUUUUGACGUCAGGCAAGUCUUUCUUAAAGAAUGAGAGAUUAAGCAGUGACUUUUGAGCGAGGGAGACUUUAGCCAAACUAACCGGGAGGGGAAAGAGAUGCUUAGCGGUGGAAGGAACAAUGUAUAAGAAGAGAAAUAAGAAGAUAUUGGAGUGUGAGAAAAGUCUACCCUUAAUGUCAACACUGUUGGAGAAGACCAAAGAGGCCCAAGUGGAUGAAGAAAGGGAGUACCAGCCUCCUGAAACAAAGUGGCAUAGAGUCAGCUUUCUACAAGAAUCAGUGACUGCUGAUAAAGGGUCAGUAAAAUUGGCAAACCUCUGGCAACACUGACAAAGAAAAAAAGGACACAAAUUACCAAUAUUGGGAAUGAAAUGAGCCAUCACCACAGUCUCUGCAGAGGAUAAGGAAAUGUUACAAACCACCUUACGUACUUAAAUUUGACAACUUAGAAUAAAUGGACUAAUGCCUUAUAAAACAUAAACUAUAAUAAUGCACCCAGUAUGACAUAGAUAAUUUGAAUAGCCCUAUAAUUAUUAGGGUAAUUGAACUCAUAAUUUUAAAACUCUUAGAAAGAAAUCACCAUGCCCAGAUGGUUUCACUGGAGGAAUCUGUCAAACAUUUAAAAGAGAAUUAAUAUAAAUUCUACACAAUAUCUUCCUGAAAGUAAAAGAUGGAACGUAGUUUUGCCUUGUUACUAAAACCAGGCAGUAUGAACAAAAAUAAAAACAAACAAAAAACUACAGAUCUAUAUUAUUUAUUAAUAUAUAUGCAAAUAUCCUUAACAAAUAUUAGCAAACAGAAUUCAGUCAAUAAGAAGAAUUGUAUUCCAUGGUUAAGAGUCUAUUCCAGAACUGCAGGGCUAAUUUCAGUAUUCAGAAAUAAGCUGAUGUGAUCCACCAUAUUAAUAGGCUAAAAAAAAAAAUCACAUGCUUAUAUCAAUUGAUAUAGAAAAACAACUUGACAAAAUUCAACAUCCAUUCUUGAUAAACGUAGGAAUAGAGAGUAAAUUUCUCACUUUGAUAAAGAAAACCAAAAAACAAACCUCUAACUAACAUUUUACUUAAUGGUGAGAAACUCUUUUCCCUUAAGAUCAUGAACAAGAUUAGGAUGUCAGUUCUUACCACUCCUGUUCAACAGAGUGCUGGAACUUCUAACCAGUGCAAUAGUCAAGAAAAGGAAAUCACGGGAUCCCUGGGUGGCGCGGCGGUUUAGCGCCUGCCUUUGGCCCAGGGCGCAAUCCUGGAGACCCGGGAUCGAAUCCCACGUCGGGCUCCCGGUGCAUGGAUCCUGCUUCUCCCUCUGCCUGUGUCUCUGCCUCUCUCUCUCUCUCUCUC